GAUGAACGCUGGCGGCGUGCUUAACACAUGCAAGUCGAACGAUGAGGCCCAGCUUGCUGGGUGGAUUAGUGGCGAACGGGUGAGUAACACGUGAGUAACCUGCCCUUGACUCUGGGAUAAGCCUGGGAAACUGGGUCUAAUACCGGAUACGACCAUCUGGCGCAUGUCAUGGUGGUGGAAAGCUUUUGUGGUUUUGGAUGGACUCGCGGCCUAUCAGCUUGUUGGUGGGGUAAUGGCCUACCAAGGCGACGACGGGUAGCCGGCCUGAGAGGGUGACCGGCCACCAUGGGACUGAGGCACGGCCCAGACUCCUACGGGCGGCAGCAGUGGGGAAUAUUGCACAAUGGGCGCAAGCCUGAUGCAGCGACGCCGCGUGAGGGAUGACGGCCUUCGGGUUGUAAACCUCUUUCAGUAGGGAAGAAGCGAAAGUGACGGUACCUGCAGAAGAAGCGCCGGCUAACUACGUG
This 467-nucleotide ribosomal RNA is filed under the name uncultured bacterium. RNAcentral's name for it is "partial 16S ribosomal RNA". It matches the Rfam family "Bacterial small subunit ribosomal RNA", at positions 28 to 507 of the family's 1533-position model. The record is from RNAcentral.